This 778-nucleotide ribosomal RNA is filed under the name Niallia circulans. RNAcentral's name for it is "bacterial SSU rRNA". It matches the Rfam family "Bacterial small subunit ribosomal RNA", at positions 61 to 824 of the family's 1533-position model. Lineage: Bacteria; Bacillati; Bacillota; Bacilli; Caryophanales; Bacillaceae. The record is from RNAcentral.
GUCGAGCGGACUUAAAAAGCUUGCUUUUUAAGUUAGCGGCGGACGGGUGAGUAACACGUGGGCAACCUGCCUGUAAGACUGGGAUAACUUCGGGAAACCGGAGCUAAUACCGGAUAAUCCUUUCCUACUCAUGUAGGAAAGCUGAAAGACGGUUUACGCUGUCACUUACAGAUGGGCCCGCGGCGCAUUAGCUAGUUGGUGAGGUAACGGCUCACCAAGGCGACGAUGCGUAGCCGACCUGAGAGGGUGAUCGGCCACACUGGGACUGAGACACGGCCCAGACUCCUACGGGAGGCAGCAGUAGGGAAUCUUCCGCAAUGGACGAAAGUCUGACGGAGCAACGCCGCGUGAGUGAUGAAGGUUUUCGGAUCGUAAAACUCUGUUGUUAGGGAAGAACAAGUACGAGAGUAACUGCUCGUACCUUGACGGUACCUAACCAGAAAGCCACGGCUAACUACGUGCCAGCAGCCGCGGUAAUACGUAGGUGGCAAGCGUUGUCCGGAAUUAUUGGGCGUAAAGCGCGCGCAGGCGGUCCUUUAAGUCUGAUGUGAAAGCCCACGGCUCAACCGUGGAGGGUCAUUGGAAACUGGGGGACUUGAGUGCAGAAGAGAAGAGUGGAAUUCCACGUGUAGCGGUGAAAUGCGUAGAGAUGUGGAGGAACACCAGUGGCGAAGGCGACUCUUUGGUCUGUAACUGACGCUGAGGCGCGAAAGCGUGGGGAGCAAACAGGAUUAAAUACCCUGGUAGUCCACGCCGUAAACGAUGAGUGCUAAGUGUU